GUUACGGUCAGUAACUGUUCAGCCGUGGCCCUGAGGUCGUCGCGGCUUGGUCCGGGUCCGGAAGGUGGUGGUCAAAGGAUGGGGAGUCUCCCCGAGCCCGCUGGGUCCCCCUGGGCGGUGAUCUCCGAAGGCUUUGCACCUGCAUCAAGGCCGGGUCGGGGUGCUUGACCCGACCCCUCCGACGAUCAAGUUAACGAAGGAUGUGGAGGGGGUUUUGGGAGGAGGAAAAGUCUCCCCCGUAUUGAGCGUGUUGAGAGAGUCCCCCCUUUUUGCUCAGGACUUGGGGGUAUUUAUAGAGAAAUCACGUGUUACCUGACUUGACCGCCUGCUGGAGUGAGGUGGUACCUCUGAUGGCGUCUGACGCGGCCGCUGGGGUCGCGUGGCGGAGUGGCUCGUAGCAGGGUAUGGGCGAGGGGCAGGUUGUUGUCCGGCCUGGCCGUGGUCAACCAUGCAGGGUCGGGCGUCGCCUCUCGACAGCGGGGGUCGUCAGGGCGAGUCUAGUCGGCGUUAUUGCUUUGGCCGGGGGCUGUCGUCAUGGUGCGUCAACCGUGCCAUUAUUUUCCCUAUCA
This 569-nucleotide long non-coding RNA is filed under the name Musa acuminata (dwarf banana). Its description in RNAcentral is "long non-coding RNA (MACU_LNC002734)". Lineage: Eukaryota; Viridiplantae; Streptophyta; Magnoliopsida; Zingiberales; Musaceae. The record is from RNAcentral.